Molecule: non-coding RNA, 1108 nt
Organism: Arachis ipaensis
Lineage: Eukaryota; Viridiplantae; Streptophyta; Magnoliopsida; Fabales; Fabaceae
Source: RefSeq, a predicted model, not a curated record
UGUUAUAACACAUACACCCACAAAUAAGAGAAAGAACGGGAGAAAGGGAGGAGAACAGAAAUCAAAAGAGGAGCGAUUGAAGAAGAAAGGAAGAAGAAGAAAGGGAAAAGAAGAGACGAUGCCAGCAGGGGUGGGCGCUACUGUUGCCAUCGCAGAGAAAAGAAUAGAUGCGCGAGAGAGAUGAGAGUGAGAUCACAGGCCUUCCACAGAGAAAGAGGAAAGUGCGUGACGUAGAAGAGGGAGGAGGGAGUCUUGUCAUCGUCGCUGUGCCCGUCGCCGCCCACUGCAGUUGAUUGAGACUGUCGCCGCCCUGGUUGAGGUCAUCAUCGUUGCCAACUAGGGCAGAGAAGGAGGACGCGAAUGGGAGGGAGAAAGGGGAGCUCUGCUGGAGCUCGUCGCCAAAGUGCUGCCGCCUUCCACCACCGUGACACAGAGCCAGCCUUCUGUUUCUCCACCGACAUUGGGGUUGCCUCCGUUGCAGGUGGAGGAGGUCACCGGAGAAGGAUUGUUCUGUUCUGCUUCUAGUUUUGGUUUUCCAUUGAUUGCCGGAGUCUCUAGGGCCAUGAAAGUUGCUGCCGGAGUCGUCGCCGCCAAGAGCCACCACUGCUAUACCUUUCCCUUGAAGUGGUAGCGAUGCUGCUGUUGUUGUCGAGAUGACAUUCGAGACGUAGUCGUUGGUGCUGUUUGAAUUGAAGUUGCUGCCACUGGCUCGGUCCAAACUCUGUGUUCUGUCGUUCCAUUCUAUUCCAACCUUUCUCAGCUUUUAAUUCGGCAUUUUGGGUUCGGUUUCUUCGGUCCCUUAGGACCAAGUUGUGAGUAGGCUUUACAUUUAUAAUUGUUUGGCUUUACGUCUAUAAAUAUUUUUUUUUAUAUACGGUGCUUUGAAUUUAGUUAUACUUACAAAGAUUAUUAUCAAAGGAUUUUAAAUUGGUUUUACUAAUUGAGUUAUUAGAACUAUAUAUUUAUCAUUGUUAAGCUCAUUCUAAUAUGCAUUCUAAUAUGCACAUGAGACUAUAUAUUUUUAUGAGACUAUAUGUAUGUUUGAAGAAGUUUUAUAUUAUUUUAAAGCAUUUGAUUCUACUCGAAUAUGUAUUUUUGAAGCAUUGAA